This 275-nucleotide long non-coding RNA is filed under the name Glycine max (soybean). Its description in RNAcentral is "long non-coding RNA (GMAX_LNC001964)". The record is from RNAcentral. Lineage: Eukaryota; Viridiplantae; Streptophyta; Magnoliopsida; Fabales; Fabaceae.
GGGGAAUUGGGGAUCAACUUUAUCACCCUAUAACUUGUAUAAACAAAAGAGAAUUGAUUCAUAGAGUAGUUUUCAUCAUAAUUUUUUUUUGUAGUGGCUAAAUAAAAAAUUAUAAUUAAACCCAAUUUUUUUAUAAAAAAUAUUCAAAUUUCAUUCUAUUAGAAGUCUGCAAACCAAUGUAGUUGAGGCAAACAUUUUAUCAAACACAUAGUAAGGAAAUGACUCACUGUCAUGUAAAAUGAUUGUUAUACCUGCCAAUGAAUCAAGCUAAGGCG